RNAcentral lists this ribosomal RNA (253 nucleotides) under uncultured bacterium. Its description in RNAcentral is "partial 16S ribosomal RNA". It matches the Rfam family "Bacterial small subunit ribosomal RNA", at positions 524 to 776 of the family's 1533-position model. The record is from RNAcentral.
UACGUAGGGACCGAGCGUUGUCCGGAAUCAUUGGGCGUAAAGAGCGUGUAGGCGGCCUUUUAAGUCCUGCGUGAAAUCCUGCGGCUCAACCGCAGACGGUCGUGGGAAACUGGAAGGCUAGAGUGCGGGAGAGGAGACUGGAAUUUACGGUGUAGCAGUGAAAUGCGUAGAUAUCGUAAGGAAGACCAGUGGCGAAGGCGAGUCUCUGGACAGCAACUGACGCUGAGGCACGAAGGCCAGGGGAGCAAACGGG